RNAcentral lists this long non-coding RNA (466 nucleotides) under Fukomys damarensis (Damara mole-rat). RNAcentral's name for it is "lncRNA (ENSFDAG00000021937.1)". The record is from RNAcentral. Lineage: Eukaryota; Metazoa; Chordata; Mammalia; Rodentia; Bathyergidae.
GGUCAGGUGCUUCCAUUCUGCCAUAUUGUGGAAGCUCCCAGCUAGCUAGACCCGCCCAGGUCCUGCGCCUGUCCUCUGUCGCGGAUUCCCCAUUCUCAUCAUCCCGAGGACUUUGCGGAGCUCUGUUCCUUACAGACCCGGGUUGGCUUGAUGGUGGUGAUUCCCAACUGAUCCAUCCUCCAGCAUUUCUGCUGAUGUUUAUUAAGCAGACAGCAUUAAUUAACAGCAUACUCAGAGUCCAUCCUGGGUGCCACUGUCUCAACACAAAGCUUUCAGGAUUGCCUCCACAGAAGAAAGAGAGCUGGAUGGUUUUGCACACAUGUUAUUCUACUCACAUAGCCAGAACUAUCACAUGGGCCCUAUCUAACCGCAGAGGGCCUGGGAAAUGUGGGGGGGAAAACCAUAGGCUAUUUAGUAAGCAAUAUUAUCUCUGCCACAGUUGCUGACUCUGUCUUUAGUGCCCGAC